AGUGGAUGGGGAGCAACCUAGUUGUGCGUGUGUAAAGGUAGUGCCAAGAAAAGCGAUGAUCAUGUUGAAAAUCAAUUCCCGGUACCCGAAACCGACACAGGUGGGCAAGUAGAGAAUACUAAGGGGCGCGAGGUAACUCUCUCCAAGGAACUCGGCAAAAUGACCCCGUAACUUAGGGAGAAGGGGUGCCACCGAGAGGUGGUCGCAGUGAAGAGGCCCAGGCGACUGUUUAGCAAAAACAUAGGUCUCUGCAAACUCGAAAGAGGAGGUAUAGGGGCUGACGCCUGCCCAGUGCCGGAAGGUUAAAGAAGUUGGUCAGUUUUAGGAUGAAGCUAGCGACUGAAGCCCCGGUGAACGGCGGCCGUAACCAUAACGGUCCUAAGGUAGCGAAAUUCCUUGUCGGGUAAGUUCCGACCCGCACGAAAGGCGUAACGAUCUGGGCGCUGUCUCGGAGAGAGGCUCGGCGAAAUAGGAUUGUCUGUGAAGAUACGGACUACCUGCAUUUGGACAGAAAGACCCUAUGAAGCUUUACUAUAGCUUGGAAUUGUGUUCGGGCUUCCUGUGCGCAGGAUAGGUGGGAGGCGUAGAAGGUAUUCUUGUGGGGAUACUGGAGCCAACGGUGAGAUACCACUCUCAGGAGGCUAGAAUUCUAACUUAAUUAAGGACAGUUUCAGGUGGGUAGUUUGACUGGGGCGGUCGCCUCCAAAAAGGUAACGGAGGCGUACAAAGGUUCCCUCAGACUGGUUGGAAAUCAGUCGAAGAGUGCAAAGGCAGAAGGGAGCUUGACUGCGAGAAGUACAGUUCGAGCAGGGUGGAAACACGGUCUUAGUGAUCCGACGGUGCUGUGUGGAAGGGCCGUCGCUCAACGGAUAAAAGUUACUCUAGGAUAACAGGCUGAUCUCCCCCAAGAGUUCACAUCGACGGGGAGGUUUGGCACCUCGAUGUCGGCUCAUCGCAACCUGGGGCGGAAGUACGUCCCAAGGGUUGGGCUGUUCGCCCAUUAAAGCGGUACGUGAGCUGGGUUCAGAACGUCGUGAGACAGUUCGGUCCAUAUCCGAUGUAGGCGUGAGAAUAUUGAGAGGAGCCUUCCUUAGUACGAGAGGACCGGGAAGGACGCACCGCUGGUGUACCUGUUAUGAUGCCAAUUGUAAACGCAGGGUAGCCAAGUGCGGAGAGGAUAACCGCUGAAAGCAUCUAAGUGGGAAGCCCACCUCAAGAUGAGUAUUCUGGUGUAAGGUCACGGGAAGACGACCCGUAAAUAGGCACGAGGUGGAAGUGCAGAGAUGUAUGAAGCCGAAGUGUACUAAUAGACCGUCGGCUUGAUC
RNAcentral lists this ribosomal RNA (1325 nucleotides) under metagenome. RNAcentral's name for it is "bacterial LSU rRNA". It matches the Rfam family "Bacterial large subunit ribosomal RNA", at positions 1561 to 2925 of the family's 2925-position model. The record is from RNAcentral.